Molecule: ribosomal RNA, 441 nt
Filed under: uncultured bacterium
Lineage: Bacteria
Description: partial 16S ribosomal RNA
Rfam family: Bacterial small subunit ribosomal RNA
Source: RNAcentral
CCUACGGGGGGCAGCAGUAGGGAAUUUUGCGCAAUGGGGGAAACCCUGACGCAGCAACGCCGCGUGAUCGAUGAAGCCCUUCGGGGUGGAAAGAUCUGUCAGUGGGGACGAAACCUGACGGUACCCACAGAGGAAGCACCGGCUAACUACGUGCCAGCAGCCGCGGUAAUACGGGGGGUGCAAGCGUUGUCCGGAAUUAUUGGGCUGAAAGGGUUCGUAGGUGGCACGGUAAGUCUGGUGUUAAAGGCGGAGGCUGAACUUUCGUAGGGCACUGGAUACUGGCGGGCUUGAAUGCGGUAGAGGUAAGGGGAAUACGUGGUGUAGCGGUGAAAUGCGUAGAUAUCAGGAGGAACACCGGUGGCGUAAGCGCUUUACUGGGCCGUAAUUGACACUGAGGAACGAAAGCCGGGGUAGCAAAUGGGAUUAGAUACCCCAGUAGUC